UAUUCUGCCCCACGGGGAAGGAUGAGAAGCUUCGACUAAGGUUCGACUCGAGCGAAGCGAGAGAACGUUGCCGCAGGCAACGGCCCGAAGGGCGAGGAGCGAUAGCGACGAGUUAUCCUUCCCCCACCACUG
RNAcentral lists this small RNA (132 nucleotides) under Klebsiella pneumoniae. Its description in RNAcentral is "RtT sRNA". It matches the Rfam family "RtT RNA". Rfam says of the family: This family represents a bacterial cis-regulatory element known as RtT RNA. The exact function of RtT is unknown although it is thought that it may be involved in changing the cellular response in relation to amino acid starvation. Lineage: Bacteria; Pseudomonadati; Pseudomonadota; Gammaproteobacteria; Enterobacterales; Enterobacteriaceae. The record is from RNAcentral. RNAcentral also lists the same sequence under 1 other name.